Molecule: unclassified non-coding RNA, 156 nt
Filed under: uncultured Setophoma
Lineage: Eukaryota; Fungi; Ascomycota; Dothideomycetes; Pleosporales; Phaeosphaeriaceae
Description: sequence contains ITS2
Source: RNAcentral
GUACCUUCAAGCUUUGCUUGGUGAUGGGUGUUUGUUCUAUCCAUUUGUGACUGGACUCGCCUUAAAAUUAUUGGCAGCCGGCAUAUUGGCCUUUGGAGCGCAGCACAUUUUGCGAUCUAAGCCUGUAUACUGGUAUCCAUUAAGCCAUAUCAUCAC